Cyprinodon tularosa is the source of this 432-nucleotide long non-coding RNA. RefSeq lists it as uncharacterized. NCBI's taxonomy places the organism in Eukaryota, Metazoa, Chordata, Actinopteri, Cyprinodontiformes, Cyprinodontidae. The transcript is spliced from 3 exons. The record is from RefSeq and is a predicted model, not a curated record.
UAAUUACUCUCAGCAACAGAACCUGAUCCAUGCAAGAGCUCAGCCUGUAGGAAGAUCCAGUCAGAACUUGGCUGAUCCUGAAGGUGAUGUUACCUACGCCUCCAUCCGCUACACCAAGAGGACCAACAGCAACACCAAGAACCAGGGUAAAGAUGGUGACGAAGAUGACACAGUGACCUACAGCUCUGCAAAGGCUUCUUUCUCUCCUGCUGCCUCUGAUCCCAGUAAAAUCUAUGCUACCAUCAACAAACCAAAACCUUAAGACUUUUGUGUACUGGUUACAGGUUUCGUUUUAAAUUUUAUGAUACAAUAAAACCAGAAAUAAUUUAGAUUUGUUUUACUGUAUUCAAUUUAGUUGAUUUAUAUUAUUCUCUUUAAUCCUAUAUAUAAGAGUUCUAUUGAUAUUUGUUGCUUUUUUUUGGCUUAAAUACA